AAGCCGUAACUGACGCUGAGGCUCGAAAGUGCGGGGAUCAAACAGGAUUAGAUACCCUGGUAGUCCGCACUGUAAACGAUGAUUACUCGCUGCUGGGAGGUAACUUUCAGUGGCUAAGCGAAAGCGAUAAGUAAUCCACCUGGGGAGUACGCCGGCAACGGUGAAACUCAAAGGAAUUGACGGGGGCCCGCACAAGCGGAGGAGCAUGUGGUUUAAUUCGAUGAUACGCGAGGAACCUUACCAGGGCUUGAAAGUUAGUGACCGGUGGUGAAAGCCACUUUUCAGCAAUGACACGAAACUAGGUGCUGCAUGGCUGUCGUCAGCUCGUGCCGUGAGGUGUUGGGUUAAGUCCCGCAGCGAGCGCAACCCCUACCAUUAGUUGCCAGCGGUUCGGCCGGGGACUCUAAUGGAACUGCCCGCGCAAGCGGAGAGGAAGGUGGGGAUGACGUCAAGUCAUCACGGCCCUUACGUCCUGGGCUACACACGUGCUACAAUGGCCACUACAGAGGGCAGCUACCUGGCAGCAGGAUGCAAAUCUUCAAAAGUGGUCUCAGUUCGGAUUGGAGUCUGCAACUCGACCUCAUGAAGCUGGAUUCGCUAGUAAUCGCGCAUCAGCAAUGGCGCGGUGAAUACGUUCCCGGGCCUUGUACACACCGCCCGUCAAGCCAUGAAAGCUGGGAGUAUCUAAAGUCGGUAGCCGCAAGGCGCCGCCUAGGGUAAAACUGGUGACUGGGGCUAAGUCGUAACAAGGUAGCCGUACCGGAAGGUGCGGCUGGAUCACCUCCUU
Molecule: ribosomal RNA, 787 nt
Filed under: uncultured freshwater bacterium
Lineage: Bacteria
Description: bacterial SSU rRNA
Rfam family: Bacterial small subunit ribosomal RNA
Source: RNAcentral